CAAGAAGCUGCUAGUUUAGAUUGGACAAAAUCAACAGGACACACCUUGAAUGGAUUUAGGCAUCUGGACCAUUAUGAAGAAGAAUUUCAUGCUUCAGACAAUAGAAACUUCUCUCAGAAGCUUGGGGGAAAUGUUUCAGAUCAUCUGGGUAGUGCACGUUCAUCUUCAGUGGCUGCUGCUUACCGCCGUUUAGCAAAUGCUUCUGCCAACAGUUUGGAAGUUCAUGGAGAGUAUAAAGAACCUGACCCUGAUGAUUCCAGGUUCAGCAUAAAUAAUAGACUUGAUAUCAUGGAUUAUGUAGGAGAGGACAAUAAAGACAUUGAAAACCCACACAAGGUUCAGUUGAAACCUGAUUAUGAGCCAGAUCCUGAUGAACCUGCUUGUGACCACAGUAAGUAUGAACCUGAUCCUGAUGAUUCUCAGAGUAAUCACCCUCAGCCGAUGGAGACUCUGAACAGUGGGAUUCAGCUUAGCAAGACCAUUGAUGAACCAGAUCCAGAUGACUCAGAAACAAAACAGAGCAAUUCAAGGGACAGAAACAUCCAGGGACCAGAUUUGAACAAUUCUAUAGUGACUGAAAGCAUGGAAGAUCAAACCUCUCUAAAUAAGGCUUAUACAGAACCUGAUCCUGAUGAAUCUCAAGCAAACAUAACUGCGCGGACAGAGCCUGAUCCUGAUGAUGAUUUAAUGGCCCCACAGGAAAUAUCCGGUAAGAGAACUGCUGAAAGCAUGAUUAUUGAUGAACCUGAUCCAGAUGACUUGGAAGCAAAACAGAGCAGUUCGGGAGAUGUAAAUAUCCAAGAACAAGAUCAGAUUAAUCCUCUAUUGACUGAAAUGAAGGAACCUGAUCCUGAUGAAUCUCAAGCAAACAAAACAGAGCCUGAUCCUGAUGAAUCUCAAGCGAACAAAACAGAGCCUGAUCCUGAUGAUGAUUUAGUGACGUCACAGAAAAUAUCCAGUAUGAAAAUUGAUGAGCCAGAUCCCGAUGAAGAGUUACAGAGAAUCCAAGAUCCUGUUACUGUUGUUUGUGGUAGGCUGCAGAAGGCUGUUGAGAGGCUGAGAGCUGAAGUUAAUCCCACAGAAGCAACUGGCAUCUUGCAAAUUCUUUUCAAAAUAAUUAGGAAUGUGAUUGAACACCCAAAUGAAAUGAAAUUUAAGAAGCUCCGCAAGGCUAAUCCCAUAAUCCAGAAGAAUGUUGCCAAUCAUAAAGCUGCAAUGGAAAUACUACAAACGGUUGGAUUUAUUGAAGAUGUUGUCUUUGAUGAAACUGGGAAAGCAGAAUCUUGUUUAGUGUUGAAGCGGAAUGAUCCAGGCCUGUUGUGGCUUGCAAAAUCAUCCCUUGAGGCUUGUGUAACCGGCUAGUCCUGGAGGGAUCAACAUUCUAAAACUCAAAAUGCGUUUGAAACUGUAAAAAACUGUAAAGAUGUGCCAUAUGCAAGUUGUAUACCGCAUGUACUUGAUGAAAAACAUACAUGCAUGAUUGUACUUUGGGUGGAGCAAGAACACUAAUUGUAAUUAAAUUGAAGUUUUGGACAAUUUGAGUUUUAGAAUUGUUUGAUGAUGCUAGGGGGAACAUUGUACAACAAAACAGUGGCAGGGUUGAUGGUGGCAUAUCUUUACAGUUUUUUAC
RNAcentral lists this unclassified non-coding RNA (1630 nucleotides) under Hevea brasiliensis (rubber tree). Lineage: Eukaryota; Viridiplantae; Streptophyta; Magnoliopsida; Malpighiales; Euphorbiaceae. The record is from RNAcentral.